This 250-nucleotide ribosomal RNA is filed under the name uncultured bacterium. Its description in RNAcentral is "partial 16S ribosomal RNA". It matches the Rfam family "Bacterial small subunit ribosomal RNA", at positions 524 to 773 of the family's 1533-position model. The record is from RNAcentral.
CACAGAGGGUGCGAACGUUGCUCGGAAUCACUGGGCGUAAAGCGCGUGUAGGCGGACAAUCAAGUCAGGUGUGAAAUCCCUGGGCUCAACCUAGGAACUGCAUCUGAAACUGGCUGUCUUGAGUGUCGGAGAGGGAAGCGGAAUUCUGGGUGUAGAGGUGAAAUUCGUAGAUAUCCGGAGGAACACCGGUGGCGAAGGCGGCUUCCUGGACGACUACUGACGCUGAGACGCGAAAGUGUGGGGAGCAAAC